Molecule: ribosomal RNA, 451 nt
Filed under: uncultured bacterium
Lineage: Bacteria
Description: partial 16S ribosomal RNA
Rfam family: Bacterial small subunit ribosomal RNA
Source: RNAcentral
AGCGAACGCUGGCGGCAUGCCUAACACAUGCAAGUCGCACGGGGGGGCUUCGGCCUCCCAGUGGCGGACGGGUGAGGAACGCGUAGGGACCUGUCGAGGGGUGGGGGAUAACCGCGGGAAACUGCGGCUAAUACCCCAUGACGCCGCGGCGUGACAGCCGGGGCCAAAGGCGAAAGCCGCCCGCCGAGGGGCCUGCGUCCGAUUAGCUGGUUGGCGGGGUAGCGGCCCACCAAGGCGUCGAUCGGUAGCUGGUCUGAGAGGGUGAUCAGCCACACCGGGACUGAGACACGGCCCGGACUCCUACGGGAGGCAGCAGUGGGGAAUAUUGGACAAUGGGCGCAAGCCUGAUCCAGCAAUGCCGCGUGGGUGAAGAAGGUCUUCGGAUUGUAAAGCCCUUUCGGCGGGGACGAUGGUGACGGUACCCGCAGAAGAAGCCCCGGCUAACUUCGUG